UACGUAGGGUGCAAGCGUUAAUCGGAAUUACUGGGCGUAAAGCGUGCGCAGGCGGUUUUGUAAGUCUGACGUGAAAGCCCCGGGCUUAACCUGGGAAUUGCGUUGGAGACUGCAAGGCUUGAAUCUGGCAGAGGGGGGUAGAAUUCCACGUGUAGCAGUGAAAUGCGUAGAUAUCAGGAGGAAUACCGAUGGCGAAGGCAGGUCUCUGGGCUGAUACUGACGCUCAUGCACGAAAGCGUGGGGAGCAAACAGG
RNAcentral lists this ribosomal RNA (253 nucleotides) under uncultured bacterium. RNAcentral describes it as "partial 16S ribosomal RNA". It matches the Rfam family "Bacterial small subunit ribosomal RNA", at positions 524 to 776 of the family's 1533-position model. The record is from RNAcentral.